UAUGUCCCGUUCUCUUCCCACAGGACAGCGCUGUAGAAGUAAGGGGCAGACAUGAUGCCGGCUGCCAGCCAUAAGAUGCCACAGGCCAGAGGAACAGCCCAGGAUGGCCGCCGCAGUCGAGCCCACACAGGCCUCAGCAGGCACAGGCAUCGCUCCAAGGCCACAGCACAGAGGAGGAAGGCUGAGGCGUACAGCCCCAGGCCUCGCAAGAACAUGAUGAGGUGGCAGAAGACACGGCCAAACGGCCAGCUGUAAUUGUGAGCGAUGUAGCCCAACAUGAGGGGGGUUCGCAGGAGCAGCACCAAGUCGGCCAGGGCCAGGUUCAGGACAUAGACACGGAAACUGCUGGCAGCACGCGUCUCCCCACCGCUGCCUCUGCGCACCAGACGACUGUGACUCUGUAUUCCAAGUGCCCAGACCACCACACCAUUCAGAGAUUCCUUGUGUUUGUGAAGCUGAGCAGGAGUUCCAGAGAAAAGGUGUGCCCACGGGCUGCUUGAUGAUGCCAUAAUUGAUCUUCACCAGUAGAUGGCAGUGCUGCUCAUACGCUAAACAGAGGCAAUGUACUGGGCUCUCACAGGAAUGCAACACAUACACUACCAAGUCCAUGGCAGUGAGAUGCAUGAAGCCCGAGUGCCGCCGGCAGAGUCCCGCAGUGCCGCCGUCAGUGCUGGAGAACCGUGGGGGAGGGGAUGGGUAGUGAGAAUGGACGGGGAGGCACCUGGUCUUCUCAGAAGCCGAGUGGUAUGACUUGGUUACUGGGUUACCACAAGCAAACACUGCAGGCAGUCAGAUCCUGGGCCAGUUUGUUCGCGGCGCCUGAGAUAGUUAACAAGGAUAGUUUGCAGGUUUACAGUCAUUUAGUGGAAAAGGGUCUCUGUCAAAAUCCCCCACUGAGCACACUCCCAUAACUGACAAUCAGAAGUCGACUUCAUUUAAUUGCCCUGCACACUCAUUAUGUUGUGCAGGUGGUGGAUUGGUAUGAAAUGGAUGCUUCAUAUAUUUGUGUAAAGAUAUGAAAAUGAUACCAGGGUGUUUUUAAGCAUUCGGUUGACUUCAAUGAUGGCUUAUACAGCAAACAUGUUAGAAUGUUGUCAUGUUUAAACCCGGGGUUUAAAUCCUGAUCUGAUCCAGAAAAUCUGUUUAAAUAUUCACAAGAACUCUAAUGACUUUUCCUCUAACGCCACCACGAGGUUGUCACUUUUUCUUUUUUUUUUUGAAGUGACAUCUCAACAACUACAAGAGAGAUUGUCAUUCACUUUGGGACAGAUCUAGUAAAAAUUAAUGAUUAAACACCUGCAAAACUAAUGACAUUCAGCACACUGAUACUAACUGAGAAUAACUCGCUCGCAUGGCUACAACCACCUACAGCGUGUCCCCACUUCAAACCAGAUUAAAUAGGGUUGAUAUUUGAUUGAUUGACGCGUAAUAUUCUCCAAUGUAGGGUUGAUAUUUGAGUGAUUGAUGCGUAAUAUUCUCCAAUGUUGAAAUACACAAAGGAAAUGGAGGAGGUGCUCACAGCUGGAAAGUAUUUUUGACAUAAAAUUGUGGGUGCACGAAAUGCCUCCGGAGAGAGAGACAUCUCGAAGAACACAAAAACACCAUGCAUUCAAUCUUGGGAAGGAAUUCUCUUUCUAUUUGUAUAUUUCAAAUCAAAAAUCAAUCAGUCAUUUUUCAUAAUAGUUGUUACAACAAAACUUAAUGUGGCCACACUUGUUCAAGUCCUCUUUAUCUGUUCGUCCACUUGAAGCAGCAGAAAGUGUGAGGACAGGAAAUACUGAAGAAAAGCUUUUGAUAAUUUGAUACAGAGACAGGUUUUAUUUUCCACAGGUAGAUCUCGGACAAGCCUUAAUAUCGAAUUCUGUAUCAUUAUCAGGUUCAUUCGAUGUACAAUCAUAAUGGCUGCCCCUGUCACUCAUCCUUUUUUAUCAUUUCUUUAAAAUCCUUUAAUGAGACUGAAGAUGGGGACACUCCUUUUCUUUUUCUUUUUUACACAUGUUGCUCAAAUGCAGCCAUGCAUUGGGCUCAUGUUUCUGUCAAGCCUUUGGCAGGUUACCUAUUUGAGAAGAUGGAGAAAUAAAAGAUUCAUGAUGUCAAACUGUCA
Scophthalmus maximus (turbot) is the source of this 2104-nucleotide long non-coding RNA. RefSeq lists it as uncharacterized. The transcript is spliced from 4 exons. NCBI's taxonomy places the organism in Eukaryota, Metazoa, Chordata, Actinopteri, Pleuronectiformes, Scophthalmidae. The record is from RefSeq and is a predicted model, not a curated record.